UACGUAGGGGGCAAGCGUUGUCCGGAUUUAUUGGGCGUAAAGCGCGCGUAGGCGGCUUUGUAAGUUAGAGGUGAAAGCCCGGGGCUCAACCCCGGAACUGCCUUUAAGACUGCAUCGCUUGAAUCCGGGAGAGGUGAGUGGAAUUCCGAGUGUAGAGGUGAAAUUCGUAGAUAUUCGGAAGAACACCAGUGGCGAAGGCGGCUCACUGGACCGGUAUUGACGCUGAGGUGCGAAAGCGUGGGGAGCAAACAGG
This 253-nucleotide ribosomal RNA is filed under the name uncultured bacterium. RNAcentral describes it as "partial 16S ribosomal RNA". It matches the Rfam family "Bacterial small subunit ribosomal RNA", at positions 524 to 776 of the family's 1533-position model. The record is from RNAcentral.